GAGUUUGAUCAUGGCUCAGAACGUACGCUGGCGGCACGCCUAACACAUGCAAGUCGAACGCAGUAGCAAUACUGAGUGGCAAACGGGUGAGUAUAAUGUGGGAAUCUGCCUUUUGGUCUGGAAUAACACGGGGAAACUUGUGCUAAUACCGGAUAAGCCCUUACGGGGAAAGUUUUAAUGCCGAAAGAUGAGCCUGCACUUGAUUAGCUAGUUGGUAAGGUAAAAGCUUACCAAGGCAACGAUCAAUAGCUGUUCUUAGAGGAAGACCAGCCACAUUGGGACUGAGACACGGCCCAGACUCCUACGGGAGGCAGCAGUGGGGAAUCUUGCACAAUGGGGGAAACCCUGAUGCAGCGAUGCCGCGUGAGUGAAGAAGGCCUUUGGGUUGUAAAACUCUUUCGUCGGGGAAGAAAAUGACUGUACCCGAAUAAGAAGGUCCGGCUAACUUCGUGCCAGCAGCCGCGGUAAUACGAAGGGACCUAGCGUAGUUCGGAAUUACUGGGCUUAAAGAGUUCGUAGGUGGUUGAAAAAGUUGGUGGUGAAAUCCCAGAGCUUAACUCUGGAACUGCCAUCAAAACUUUUCAGCUAGAGUAUGAUAGAGGAAAGCAGAAUUUCUAGUGUAGAGGUGAAAUUCGUAGAUAUUAGAAAGAAUACCAAUUGCGAAGGCAGCUUUCUGGAUCAUUACUGACACUGAGGAACGAAAGCAUGGGUAGCGAAGAGGAUUAGAUACCCUCGUAGUCCAUGCCGUAAACGAUGUGUGUUAGACGUUGGAAAUUUAUUUUCAGUGUCGCAGCGAAAGCGAUAAACACACCGCCUGGGGAGUACGACCGCAAGGUUAAAACUCAAAUGAAUUGACGGGGACCCGCACAAGUAGUGGAGCAUGUGGUUUAAUUCGAAGAUACGCGCAGAACCUUACCAACACUUGACAUGUUCGUCGCGACUCUAAGAGAUUAGAGUUUUCGGUUCGGCCGGACGAAACACAGGUGCCGCAUGGCUGUCGUCAGCUCGUGUCGUGAGAUGUUGGGUUAAGUCCCGCAACGAGCGCAACCCUCACUUUUAGUUGCCAUCAUUAAGUUGGGCUCUCUGAAAGAACUGCCAGUGAUAAGCUGGAGGAAGGUGGGGAUGACGUCAAGUCCUCAUGGCCCUUACGUGUUGGGCUACACACGUGCUACAAUGGUAUCUACAACAGGAAGCAAGACUGCGAAGUUUAGCAAAUCCUUAAAAGAUACCUCAGUUCGGAUUGCACUCUGCAACUCGAGUGCAUGAAGCUGGAAUUACUAGUAAUCGUGGAUCAGCGUGCCACGGUGAAUGCGUUCCCGGGUCUUGUACACACCGCCCGUCACACCAUGGGAGUUGGUUCUACCUUAAGGCAAGGCUUAAAACCCUUGACCACGGUAUAGUCAGCGACUGGGGUGAAGUCGUAACAAGGUAACC
RNAcentral lists this ribosomal RNA (1434 nucleotides) under uncultured marine bacterium. RNAcentral's name for it is "partial 16S ribosomal RNA". It matches the Rfam family "Bacterial small subunit ribosomal RNA". The record is from RNAcentral.